AAUCCUAGCUCAGGAUGAACGCUAGCGGCAGGCUUAACACAUGCAAGUCGAGGGGCAGCAUAAUGGUAGCAAUACUAUUGAUGGCGACCGGCGGACGGGUGCGUAACGCGUAUGCAACCUACCCUUUACAGGGGGAUAACACUGAGAAAUCGGUACUAAUACCCCAUAAUAUUCUGGGAGGCAUCUUUCGGAGUUGAAAGCUUUGGUGGUAAAGGAUGGGCAUGCGUUGUAUUAGCUAGUUGGUAAGGUAACGG
Molecule: ribosomal RNA, 254 nt
Filed under: uncultured bacterium
Lineage: Bacteria
Description: partial 16S ribosomal RNA
Rfam family: Bacterial small subunit ribosomal RNA
Source: RNAcentral